RNAcentral lists this ribosomal RNA (440 nucleotides) under uncultured bacterium. RNAcentral describes it as "partial 16S ribosomal RNA". It matches the Rfam family "Bacterial small subunit ribosomal RNA", at positions 338 to 795 of the family's 1533-position model. The record is from RNAcentral.
CCUACGGGAGGCAGCAGUGGGGGAUAUUGCACAAUGGGGGGAACCCUGAUGCAGCGACGCCGCGUGGGUGAAGAAGCGCCUCGGCGCGUAAAGCCCUGUCAGCAGGGAAGAAAAUGACGGUACCUGAAGAAGAAGCCCCGGCUAACUACGUGCCAGCAGCCGCGGUAAUACGUAGGGGGCAAGCGUUAUCCGGAUUUACUGGGUGUAAAGGGGGCGCAGACGGCGAUGCAAGCCAGGAGUGAAAGCCCGGGGACCAACCCCGGGACUGCGCGUGGAACUGCGUGGCUGGAGUGCAGGAGGGGCAGGCGGAAUUCCUGGUGUAGCGGUGAAAUGCGUAGAUAUCAGGAGGAACACCGGUGGCGAAGGCGGCCUGCUGGACUGCAACUGACGUUGAGGCCCGAAAGCGUGGGGAGCAAACAGGAUUAGAUACCCCGGUAGUC